GAUUACCACUUGCGGGUGUGCUUAUGCAUGCAAGUCGAACGGUCUUGAUUUAUCAAGGAUAGUGGCGAACGGGUGAGUAACGCGUAAGUAACCUGCCCUCAAGUAGGGGAUAACUCUGAGAAAUUAGAGCUAAUACCGUAUGUGGUGGUAGGGGUAAUGCCCUAUUACUAAAGCCUUAGGGCGCUUGGGGAGGGGCUUGUGUCCGAUUAGCUAGUUGGUAGGGUAACGGCUUACCAAGGCGAUGAUCGGUAGCUGGUUUGAGAGGACGGCCAGCCACACUGGGACUGAGACACGGCCCAGACUCCUACGGGAGGCAGCAGCAAGGAAUAUUGUGCAAUGGGCGAAAGCCUGACACAGCGACACCGCGUGGGGGAUGAAGGCCUUCGGGUUGUAAACCCCUUUUCUCAGGGAAGAAUAAUGACGGUACCUGAGGAAUAAGUCGUGGCUAACUACGUGCCAGCAGCCGCGGUAAUACGUAGGCGGCAAGCGUUAUCCGGAUUUAUUGGGCGUAAAGAGGGCGUAGGCGGUUUUUCAAGUCGAUUGUAAAAUCUCCCGGCUUAACUGGGAGGGGCCAGUCGAUACUGUUAGACUAGAGGGCAGCAGGGGGAGGUGGAAUUCCCGGUGUAGUGGUGAAAUGUGUAGAUAUCGGGAGGAACACCAGUGGCGAAGGCGGCCUCCUAGGCUGUUUCUAACGCUGAGGUCCGAAAGCGUGGGGAGCAAACAGGAUCAGAUACCCUGGUAGUCCACGCUGUAAUCGAUGGACACUAGGUAUAGGGAGUAUCGACCCUCUCUGUGCCGAAGCUAACGCCAUAAGUGUCCCGCCUGGGGACUACGGCCGCAGGGCUAAAACUCAAAGAAUUGAACG
This 865-nucleotide ribosomal RNA is filed under the name uncultured bacterium. RNAcentral describes it as "bacterial SSU rRNA". It matches the Rfam family "Bacterial small subunit ribosomal RNA", at positions 28 to 915 of the family's 1533-position model. The record is from RNAcentral.